This is a long non-coding RNA of Etheostoma cragini (Arkansas darter), 101 nucleotides long. RefSeq lists it as uncharacterized. The record is from RefSeq and is a predicted model, not a curated record. The transcript has 3 exons. NCBI's taxonomy places the organism in Eukaryota, Metazoa, Chordata, Actinopteri, Perciformes, Percidae.
ACUGGGCAAUGUAAUGUAAUGUAAUGGACAAAUCCAUUUCCAACCUGUAGGGGACCGAAGUGGGAAAAGUUCUCUGGUGUUGCCACAAGGACAAAGAAAAC